Molecule: unclassified non-coding RNA, 318 nt
Filed under: Hypholoma sp.
Lineage: Eukaryota; Fungi; Basidiomycota; Agaricomycetes; Agaricales; Strophariaceae
Description: partial internal transcribed spacer region
Rfam family: Eukaryotic small subunit ribosomal RNA (bases 1-46)
Source: RNAcentral
AAGUCGUAACAAGGUUUCCGUAGGUGAACCUGCGGAAGGAUCAUUAUUGAAUGAACUUGACUUGGUUGCUGCUGGUCUUUUCGAAGGCAUGUGCACACCUUGUCAUCUUUAUAUCUCCACCUGUGCACCUUUUGUAGACCUGGAUUCAACUUUCCGAGGCAACUCGGUCGUGAGGAUCUGCUUUAUUAAUGAAGCUUUCCUUGAAGAUUCUAGGCCUAUGUUUUCAUAUACACCAUAAGAAUGUAAUAGAAUGUCAUUAUUAGGCUUUAUUGUCUUAUAAACUAUAUACAACUUUCAGCAACGGAUCUCUUGGCUCUC